Molecule: non-coding RNA, 451 nt
Organism: Pelobates cultripes (western spadefoot toad)
Lineage: Eukaryota; Metazoa; Chordata; Amphibia; Anura; Pelobatidae
Source: the annotation of a GenBank genome assembly
CCAUUUUCACCAAACGUCCUACAAUUCCCUUUGGUCAGGUAUUUUUGUUUAACCAAAAAUUGACCACCCCCCUGGCUCGUUAAAUUCUCUUUCUGGGUGGCCAUCAUUUGUGUAACUGAACAACACGUGCUCUAGUAAAUGGUGGGCAUUUUGUCUCCCGAAUGCAGGCAGCAGGACUUGGUCGUCGAAUGCCUAGAACUUUAUUUUGGACACUAUGCGUCGCGAACACAAGGAAAAUCAUACCGUUCCCUGCUCCAUUCCCAGAAGAGCGCUUUUCGGGGAAAACACCCCCCUGAAUGAGGAGAACAUUUGCUACUUACAGACCAGGGGAGAUUUUGUUUAUGUUUAUAUAGGAACUCCUGAAAGUGGUCAAAACUUUACCCUGGUGGCGAUUUGGCUAUACUACACCAAUUCAAGCACUAUUUGUACAACUUGGGAGCUUGGAUCUGGG